UUAAAUAUGUCUCGAAUUCUAGUACCGCAAGGUUUUCUAACCCUAUUCUGUUUUAAUUAUCCCAUUAAGUUAAGUUUAGAUUAUGCCUAAUUUAUUGAGAUAUUCCUAAUCUUAGUGGAUUUGUAUUCCUAGUUGUAUUAGGAUUUAACCAUUAUUAUAAAUAUACCCUUUAUUCCUUUAGUUUAGUGCGGAAGAUGAGAGAGGGAAUAUGGGUGUAUUUUUGGGAUUAGGGUUUUAUGAGAGAGGCAUAUUUUGUACACCACUUUGAUUAUAAUGAAGAUCUCCGCUCCGUCUUCGCCCGUGGACGUAGGCCGUUGGCCGAACCACGUAAAUAUUGUGUGCUUUAUGUUUCUUCUCUCUUUCUCGGAUCUCUUUUGGUAUUUUCGCAUCCGACGAACUAGAUCUUCUCGGUUUUAGUUCUAACAAACUGGUAUCAGAGCCGGAGUGUUUGUUUGGGUGUUUAAGACGUCGACGAAUUUGAGAUCGAGAAGUUUGAUCGCUCCAGCAGUUUCGCUCUACGACAAGUUGUCGUUCUGAUGCAACAGAGGUUGCAAAAGGCGUAGUUGGAGAUGAGAAGAUUGGCACUUCAGAGAAUCCCGCGGAUUUGCUCAUUAAGUUUUUAGGCGAUCAAGGUCAAGUAUUCCGUAAACUUGUUCGCAUGUGCAGUAGCACUUCAGGAGCUCUUGGGAUUUUGGUGGAGAAGACAUAGAAUUCAAGCCAAGGUGGAGAUUGUUAAAUAUGUCUCGAAUUCUAGUACCGCAAGGUUUUCUAACCCUAUUCUGUUUUAAUUAUCCCAUUAAGUUAAGUUUAGAUUAUGCCUAAUUUAUUGAGAUAUUCCUAAUCUUAGUGGAUUUGUAUUCCUAGUUGUAUUAGGAUUUAACCACUAUUAUAAAUAUACCCUUUAUUCCUUUAGUUUAGUGCGGAAGAUGAGAGAGGGAAUAUGGGUGUAUUUUUUGGGAUUAGGGUUUUGUGAGAGAGGCAUAUUUUGUACACCACUUUGAUUAUAAUGAAGAUCUCCGCUCCGUCUUCGCCCGUGGACGUAGGCCGUUGGCCGAACCACGUAAAUAUUGUGUGCUUUAUGUUUCUUCUCUCUUUCUCGGAUCUCUUUUGGUAUUUUCGCAUCCGACGAACUAGAUCUUCUCGGUUUUAGUUCUAACA
RNAcentral lists this long non-coding RNA (1158 nucleotides) under Ananas comosus (pineapple). RNAcentral describes it as "long non-coding RNA (ACOM_LNC020453)". Lineage: Eukaryota; Viridiplantae; Streptophyta; Magnoliopsida; Poales; Bromeliaceae. The record is from RNAcentral.